Molecule: non-coding RNA, 71 nt
Organism: Phrynosoma platyrhinos (Desert horned lizard)
Lineage: Eukaryota; Metazoa; Chordata; Lepidosauria; Squamata; Phrynosomatidae
Source: the annotation of a GenBank genome assembly
GACCAGUGGCAUAGUGGUCUGAGUGUUGGACUACAACUCUGGAGCCCAGGGUUUGAUUCCCUGGUUGGUCA